UUCCGCACAAGACGUCUCAUCUGCAUCUCACUUGCUCUCCCUCCGUUCCAGCUAAUGCCCAUCGCCACUGCUCAGGACUCUGGGUUGCAGUAACAGCCACAGAGUUCAGCUAAGCAUGACCGAAGAAGGAAACAGGGUGCGAGUCAUGAGGAAGUCAGGAGGCGGGCUUCAGGCCCAGCUGGAUGCAGGAGCUCACGCGGAGCGUCAGAACUCUGUCUCGUGCCCUUUCUUUUCGGUUCUCUCUCUUCCCCAUUCUGCCCCGGGGCGCUCUACCACCGAGCUACACCCUAGGCCGAUUUAUUCUAAAAUAUGAGAUGGGGUCUAACUAAGUGGCCCAGGCUGUCCUUGCACUUGUGUUCCUCCUGCCUCAGCCUCUUGAGCAGCUGGGAUAAUGGGCACAAGUCCCUGGGCCCGGCUCGUUUCGACUUUCUGGGCACAGUGAACACACUGGCUGCCCGCAGGCCUUCAUUGAGAGGCCCUCUGAGCCUCCUCUUCGUCCCACCUUAGGUCAGGCACCUACACUGAACAGACGCAUGGAGAACUGGCCUCUGUGCCUGGUGUUGACUGACCGCCCCUCAGGACUACAGAGCACUGGACGGGACGCUUCCCUGGGACCCGAGUGCCCGCUCACAGCACACCACUCUUCCAGCCACCGACCUUUCGUUCCUGUGUUCUCAGGCCACAGCCCCCUGCCGAGCGGGAGGCACUCUGGGAUCCCAGUUCUGACCCUGAGGGCGGCGUGGCCUCUCUGGACUUUCCUUUUCCUCCUGAGGAUGGACAAGGAUCGAGAUCAUUCCUGUGGGCAGAAUGGAGUCUGGGGCCCUGCCCAGGCAGGACUGCGUGCUGAGGGUCUGGGGUCCUGCUUAGUGUCCUGCUGGGCGCCUGGAGGCUUUGUCUCUGCACUCCAGCUGCACAGCACUAGGCUUCUCUGAGCCUCCGUUUCUCCGCCUGCUGGAAACAGAAGCUGCCUCAGAGGACGGGAGAGAGCACAGGUCCGCCUCCGGGCCUCUGCUGAGGCUGUUCCCUCAGCCUGGGGUGCUGUUCCCCACCAUGGCUGGCGUGCUCUGCCCUGUGCACCUCGGGGGACCUGGCCCCCCUCCCCUUCUCCCACCCAGGCCGCCUGGCUGAGGCCCACUGGGUGACUCAAAACCUUCGGCCUCCCUGAGCAGCCCAGCAGGCAGCCCCUGGGCCCCGAUGGACAGGGGGAACGAGUGGCCAGAGCUUGCUGGGCUGCCCCGGCUCCAGCUGCAGCCUCUGGCCCUGCUGCCUCUGCAGGCAGCAAGCACCUGCCAGGAGGAGGACCUUGGACGGGGAGGAAGUCCACGCUGCCCUGGGGCGGCUGAUUUCUAAGAAAGCAGCUGGAGGACAGGAAGCCCGGAGGGAGGUGCCCGCGGCUUUUGCUUUCAUUUCUCUGGGCUGGAGCCGAGAGGUGUCUGUGGUGUGGCCCGGUCGGCUUCAGGGGUCCAGAGGACAGCCACCACUUCAGGACAGAACCAGGUACUCUGACAGGUGACCCCUGCCCUCUGGGUCCUCGCGUCUAGAGGACAGAAACCUCGGGCCACCUCACCAGGACUUCAGUGUGAGCGGAGGCAGCACAGAGUGCAAGGGUGCCUCCCAGAGCAGGUGACGGCCGAGUGGGGUUUUGAAGGCUGCGUAGGAGUUUGCCCAGUGAAGGGAAGACAGAGGACAUCGAAGGCCUCCCCUUGGCCCUGGGGACGGGACAGGACUGAGGUGGCCUCCAAUCCGUGGGGAAGGCGGCAUGUUCUAGGACCUGGCAGUGGAGAGCUCCCGGGUCCUGCUCUUACUGACCGGGAGGCCACGGGCAAGGCGCUCGGCCUCUUCCGGAUUCAGCUUCCUCGUCUGUAAAAUAGACAACAGGGUGCCCACCAGGCGGCCCUGGAGAAGGGUAGUGCGCUGCGGUCCUCACCCAACGUGCGCGGAGCUGGGGGGUGGGCGAGGCUGGAGCCGCGGGCACUGAGACCUGACACCCGCGCAGGGGCCGGCCGCACCUGGGCCUCGCUCCCCCAUCCCCAGCCAGCGAUGGAGCCACCCUGAAGCCAAAGGUGCUCUCCUCCUGAUCCCGCCCCGGCCCGGCCGGGUCACAGGCCCCCCCACCUGGACUUGAAGUGGUUUCGCUUUGACCCACCUGCUGGGAAACGUGGCCCUUCCUGUCAUCAGGCUAGUGCACAGGGGACUGGGCCCAGGUUUCAUUUUCAGUGAUGCAAGCUGGGGAUGGGAUGCAGGGCCAGCCCGCUCUGGGCUCUUCCUGCCUUUUAUUGAGCAUGUACUUUGUGCUCAGCAGUUUAGAAUCACUUCCUUUAACCCUUCAUACCCUGUGAGCUCUGGAUGCCUCACCCCUGAGUAAUCUGGGACUCAGAGCCCAUGACGAUGUUGCAGCCUCACUGGGCAGUGUCUCCCCGGGCGUGGGACAGGGGCCCUGGAGGGUCCUGUUUGCAUCCUCUCGCCCGCCGUCCUUGGGCUGGAGUGAGGCCGCGCAGGUCUGCUGUUGGGGCUCCGGUCCUAGCCUGACCCUGGAUAAUAUCCUCUCCUUCUCCUUCUCUCUCCAGCAAACCUACAGCAGACCUGUAGUGGUUAAGCACCACCAGGUUCAAUCCCUGGAGCCAAAAAACAGGCCACCUCUCAUGGCCGGGAUCCCACCUCCUCCAGCAUGAUAAUGAUGACAUAAAGUGUUCUGAAGGAACCAAAUGACUUGACUUGAAGAAAACAGCAACCAAAAAACAGAACGGCUGGUUCUUGGAAAGACCUGGGGGAAAAGUCAUAAAAACGGAGUCUGAGCAGCCUCCGCUUAGAGAUCCACAUGCACGAAGGACUGAACACCGAGGCCCUGGGUUAGACCCCCAGACCUGCCACCAUCACCUGCCAUGUGGCACCUGGCAUGGCACGGAGUUAAUUUCACAAAACGAGGACAGGAAUGCCCACACCUGCAGCCUACGCUCUCCUGAGGAUUUAGCAGAACAAUGCCUGGCGUCCAGUGUGCAUUUGGCAUUCUGCUGCUCCUGGCAAAGUGGCAAGUCCAGGACGGGACCAGGUCGGCUGCCUCCAUGGCUGAGCCGAUUCAGAGGCUCCUGGGCAGUCAGCGGGACGCUCCUAGAUUCGGGUGGGAAGCAUUCAUUUCCUUUCUACUCAGUCGACCUUGGGCAGCAGGUAUACACAUGGAGCCUAAUCCUUGUUGUAUGAAUGAGGCCACUAGAGUCACAUAGUGGGCAGGUGUGCUUGGCCGCCCCCUCGGCUCCUCAGGCCUCCCGUCGCCCCCCCAGCUGCAGCCCUGUGUGGGAGGGCAUGAUGUCUCCCUAACAGGCCCCUGCAGGUCCGGGAGGAGCCAGCCCUGACUGUCACCAGCCAGCCCUGCCCUUGCCAGUCCUCUGCCUGGCUCCUACUUCCUGUCCCGCUCAUCCUGUCUGCCUCGGUGGCCCCUCAGCCUUUCUGAGCCUGUCUCACCCCACAACCUGGGCCAAGUGGUCACAGCCAUUAGGUGCUCAAUAAAUGGCUCUGCUUGAAAACAGCGCCAUGCAAGAGCCACAAAGCAGA
Long non-coding RNA from Ictidomys tridecemlineatus (thirteen-lined ground squirrel), 3549 nucleotides. RefSeq lists it as uncharacterized. NCBI's taxonomy places the organism in Eukaryota, Metazoa, Chordata, Mammalia, Rodentia, Sciuridae. The record is from RefSeq and is a predicted model, not a curated record.